CAGCAGCCGCGGUAAUACGAAGGGUGCAAGCGUUACUCGGAAUUACUGGGCGUAAAGCGUGCGUAGGUGGUGGUUUAAGUCCGUUGUGAAAGCCCUGGGCUCAACCUGGGAAUUGCAGUGGAUACUGGGUCACUAGAGUGUGGUAGAGGAUAGUGGAAUUUCCGGUGUAGCAGUGAAAUGCGUAGAGAUCGGAAGGAACAUCUGUGGCGAAGGCGACUAUCUGGGCCAACACUGACGCUGAGGUACGAAAGCAUGGGGAGCAAACAGGAUUAGAUACCCCCGUAGUCCCUGUCUCUUAUAC
Molecule: ribosomal RNA, 301 nt
Filed under: uncultured bacterium
Lineage: Bacteria
Description: partial 16S ribosomal RNA
Rfam family: Bacterial small subunit ribosomal RNA
Source: RNAcentral